RNAcentral lists this microRNA precursor (84 nucleotides) under Cavia porcellus (domestic guinea pig). RNAcentral describes it as "mir-544 microRNA precursor family". It matches the Rfam family "mir-544 microRNA precursor family". Lineage: Eukaryota; Metazoa; Chordata; Mammalia; Rodentia; Caviidae. The record is from Rfam by way of RNAcentral.
AUUACCUAGGGAUCUCGUUAAAAACCAGAUUCUGAUGCAGGGACCAAGAUUCUGUAUUUUUAGCAAGUUGUCAAGUGAUGCUAA